RNAcentral lists this ribosomal RNA (254 nucleotides) under uncultured bacterium. RNAcentral describes it as "partial 16S ribosomal RNA". It matches the Rfam family "Bacterial small subunit ribosomal RNA", at positions 524 to 776 of the family's 1533-position model. The record is from RNAcentral.
UACAGAGGGUGCGAGCGUUAAUCGGAAUUACUGGGCGUAAAGCGCGCGUAGGCGGCUUUGCAAGUCGGGUGUGAAAUCCCCAGGCCUAACCUGGGAACUGCACUCGAGACUGCAUGGCUAGAGUAUCGGAGAGGGAAGUGGAAUUUCAGGUGUAGCGGUGAAAUGCGUAGAUAUCUGAAGGAACAUCAGUGGCGAAAGCGACUUCCUGGACGAAUACUGACGCUCAUGUGCGAAAAGCGUGGGGAGCAAACAGG